UACGGAGGGUGCAAGCGUUAAUCGGAAUUACUGGGCGUAAAGCGUGCGCAGGCGGUUUUGUAAGUCUGUCGUGAAAGCCCCGGGCUCAACCUGGGAAUUGCGAUGGAGACUGCAAGGCUUGAAUCUGGCAGAGGGGGGUAGAAUUCCACGUGUAGCAGUGAAAUGCGUAGAGAUGUGGAGGAAAACCGAUGGCGCAGGCAGGCCCCUGGGUCAAGAUUGACGGUCAUGCACGAAAGCGUGGGGAGCAAACAGG
This 253-nucleotide ribosomal RNA is filed under the name uncultured bacterium. RNAcentral's name for it is "partial 16S ribosomal RNA". It matches the Rfam family "Bacterial small subunit ribosomal RNA", at positions 524 to 776 of the family's 1533-position model. The record is from RNAcentral.